CCUACGGGAGGCAGCAGUGGGGGCUAUUGCACAAUGGGGGAAACCCUGAUGCAGCGACGCCGCGUGAGUGAAGAAGUAUUUCGGUAUGUAACGCUCUAUCAGCAGGGAAGAAAAUGACAGUACCUGACCAAGAAGCCCCGGCUAACUACGUGCCAGCAGCCGCGGUCAUACGUAGGGGGCAAGCGUUAUCCGGAUUUACUGGGUGUAAAGGGAGCGUAGACGGUUAUGUAAGUCUGGAGUGAAAGCCCGGGGCUCAACCCCGGGACUGCUUUGGAAACUGUGUAACUGGAGUACAGGAGGGGCAGGCGGAAUUCCUGGUGUAGCGGUGAAAGGCGUAGAAAUCAGGAGGAAAACCGGCGGCGAGGGCGGCCUGCUGGACUGAAACUGACGUUGAGGCUCGAAAGCGUGGGGAGCAAACAGGAGUAGAUACCCGAGUAGUC
This 440-nucleotide ribosomal RNA is filed under the name uncultured bacterium. RNAcentral's name for it is "partial 16S ribosomal RNA". It matches the Rfam family "Bacterial small subunit ribosomal RNA", at positions 338 to 795 of the family's 1533-position model. The record is from RNAcentral.